AUUGAACGCUGGCGGAAUGCUUUACACAUGCAAGUCGAACGGCAGCACGGACUUCGGUCUGGUGGCGAGUGGCGAACGGGUGAGUAAUGUAUCGGAACGUGCCCAGUCGGGGGGGAUAACGUAGUGAAAAUUACGCUAAUACCGCAUACGAUCUAUGGAUGAAAGCGGGGGAUCGCAAGACCUCGCGCGAUUGGAUCUGCGGAUAUCAGAUUAGGUAGUUGGUGGGGUAAAGGACAACCAAGACAACGAUCUGUAGCUGGUCUGAGAGGACGACCAGCCACAAUGGAACUGAGACACGGUCCAGACUCCUACGGGAGGCAGCAGUGGGGAAUUUUGGACAAUGGGCGAAAGCCUGAUCCAGCCAUUCCGCGUGCAGGAUGAAGGCCCUCGGGUUGUAAACUGCUUUUGUACAGAACGAAAAGGUUUCUACUAAUACUAGGAGCUCAUGACGGUACUGUAAGAAUAAGCACCGGCUAACUACGUGCCAGCCGCCGCCGUAA
This 500-nucleotide ribosomal RNA is filed under the name uncultured bacterium. RNAcentral describes it as "partial 16S ribosomal RNA". It matches the Rfam family "Bacterial small subunit ribosomal RNA", at positions 30 to 523 of the family's 1533-position model. The record is from RNAcentral.